CUUCGUCAUGGCUCUCUGUUGGGUGAACAUUUGAAGUCACGAGUGCUCUGAGCCCCCCCACCCGCCACGUCCUCAGCUCCCUCCCUGGUCUCCCUGUGUCGGAGAUGGGGGCACCCCCGGAGCGGCGUCAUCUCUGACGACGACCGCCCGCUCUUCAGCCGGAACCUCAGCAAUGAAUAAGGGCUGAUUUCUUCUCAAAUGAUCACCGCCCCCAAUUCAUCACAUUCAAAGGACUUGUGCGCAGUGGCUCAUCGGGUGCCGGGCGAGGUGGUGCUUUCUGGAACAUCGCGCUGAGCAUCCGGGAUGCGCACCAGCUGUGACGUAGAUUUGGGCUUAUUUUGCGCUCUCUCCACCCUGUGAUUUUUCUCCUCUCUGUGCCUGCUCCCCUGCAGCCGAGCUUCCUCUGUGGGAGCCAUUCAGAGGGAGUCUCUCUGGUUUGAGCUCCUAGGAGAGGAAUUGCAUCUCGUCAUUUGGAUUCUGCAUAGCACCUCGGAGCACCACACACCCAGAGACGAGGCUGUCUCAACAGCUGUGGAAGCUGUGGUCCAAGCAGAUGGUUCAGGGCGUUUGCCUUUGACUAAAGACGUAGUCUGCCUCUUCUGCGAUGCUUGUCCCUUGUGCUCUUCAAGGUCAUUCAGGGAGGACAGUGACCUACUUAUUGUCACCCAUUCCUCCCCAGCCCCCACCCCCAGCAGGCCAGCCAGGUUAGCCCUGAAGUCCCAGAAGGUGACGGAGGCCUAGUCCCCACUGUCCCAGGUCUGCAUGGAGAUAUUAGCCAUUACAACUUGCGCUGGGCCUGGGAGUGUCCAUGGGGAGGGGACAGGCUGGGAACAAGCAAGAAUCAGUAGUCUUGCAGAGGUGCUGGUUAAGUGAGCCUGGCUCAGGGACCACCUGGAGCUCUUGAAAGCAAGGCCUAUGUCUUAGCUUGUUGUGGCUGCAGAGAGCCUAGCUUAGCCUCUGGCAGGGGAGAUAUUCACAGAGUAUCUCCUGAAUGGAUCACUGCUGUGUAGUAACAAAGCUACCAGAAGCUCGUGCAGAGAACCUGGAGGACAGAGGUGAAUAACUACAUCCUCUGUCCACCUUGUGACUUCAUCCCUUUGGUGUGUGGCCAAGUUCUGAGUCCCAUAGAAAGUACAGAAAAGGCCUUUUUCCUCCCGUUAGUUACAAAAUCUCUGAUUCCCCUGAAAAAUGGGGGCACAUUUCCAAAUUCAAGAUUUUAUGUAGCUUGGA
Chinchilla lanigera (long-tailed chinchilla) is the source of this 1230-nucleotide long non-coding RNA. RefSeq lists it as uncharacterized. The record is from RefSeq and is a predicted model, not a curated record. The transcript is spliced from 2 exons. NCBI's taxonomy places the organism in Eukaryota, Metazoa, Chordata, Mammalia, Rodentia, Chinchillidae.